ACCCAAACUCAGGUCAGCUGACUCCUAGUCCAGUGCUCGUGAUGGCCAUUGGGCCUGAACUAGGGGUCUGGAGGCUAGGUUUGAAUACCACCA
RNAcentral lists this microRNA precursor (93 nucleotides) under Procavia capensis (Cape rock hyrax). Its description in RNAcentral is "microRNA 345 (ENSPCAG00000019299.1)". It matches the Rfam family "mir-345 microRNA precursor family". Lineage: Eukaryota; Metazoa; Chordata; Mammalia; Hyracoidea; Procaviidae. The record is from RNAcentral.